RNAcentral lists this ribosomal RNA (445 nucleotides) under uncultured bacterium. RNAcentral describes it as "bacterial SSU rRNA". It matches the Rfam family "Bacterial small subunit ribosomal RNA", at positions 330 to 792 of the family's 1533-position model. The record is from RNAcentral.
GCCAGACUCCUACGGGAGGCAGCAGUGGGGAAUAUUGCACAAUGGGGGAAACCCUGAUGCAGCAACGCCGCGUGAGUGAAGAAGUAUUUCGGUAUGUAAAGCUCUAUCAGCAGGGAAGAAGAUGACGGUACCUGAUUAAGAAGCCCCGGCUAACUACGUGCCAGCAGCCGCGGUAAUACGUAGGGGGCAAGCGUUAUCCGGAUUUACUGGGUGUAAAGGGAGCGCAGACGGCAGUGCAAGUCUGGAGUGAAAGCCCGGGGCCCAACCCCGGAACCGCUCUGGAAACUGUACGGCUGGAGUGCAGGAGAGGUAAGUGGAAUUCCUAGUGUAGCGGUGAAAUGCGUAGAUAUUAGGAGGAACACCAGUGGCGAAGGCGGCUUACUGGACUGUAACUGACGUUGAGGCUCGAAAGCGUGGGGAGCAAACAGGAUUAGAUACCCCAGUA